UACGUAGGGGGCGAGCGUUACCCGGAUUUACUGGGCGGAAAGAGCGUGUAGGCGGCUGGCCAAGCGUGAUGUGAAAUCUUCGGGCUUAACCCGAAAACUGCAUUGCGAACUGGUCUGGCUAGAGUGUGUGAGAGGGUAGUGGAAUUCCCGGUGUAGAGGUGAAAUUCGUAGAUAUUGGGAAGAACACCGGUGGCGAAGGCGGCUCUCUGGACCGUAACUGACGCUGAGGCGCGAAAGCGUGGGGAGCAAACGGG
RNAcentral lists this ribosomal RNA (254 nucleotides) under uncultured bacterium. Its description in RNAcentral is "partial 16S ribosomal RNA". It matches the Rfam family "Bacterial small subunit ribosomal RNA", at positions 524 to 776 of the family's 1533-position model. The record is from RNAcentral.